RNAcentral lists this ribosomal RNA (159 nucleotides) under uncultured bacterium. Its description in RNAcentral is "partial 16S ribosomal RNA". It matches the Rfam family "Bacterial small subunit ribosomal RNA", at positions 355 to 529 of the family's 1533-position model. The record is from RNAcentral.
UGGGGGAUAUUGCACAAUGGGCGAAAGCCUGAUGCAGCGACGUCGCGUGUGGGAAGACGGUCCUCGGAUUGUAAACCACUGGCUUUGGGGACGAUAAUGACGGUACCCAAGGAGGAAGCUCCGGCUAACUACGUGCCAGCAGCCGCGGUAAUAAUCACU